GGUAGCUUGCUACCUGCCGGCGAGUGGCGAACGGGUGAGUAAUACAUCGGAACGUGCCCUGUAGUGGGGGAUAACUAGUCGAAAGACUAGCUAAUACCGCAUACGACCUGAGGGUGAAAGUGGGGGACCGCAAGGCCUCAUGCUAUAGGAGCGGCCGAUGUCUGAUUAGCUAGUUGGUGGGGUAAAGGCCCACCAAGGCGACGAUCAGUAGCUGGUCUGAGAGGACGAUCAGCCACACUGGGACUGAGACACGGCCCAGACUCCUACGGGAGGCAGCAGUGGGACCCCA
Molecule: ribosomal RNA, 289 nt
Filed under: Ralstonia solanacearum
Lineage: Bacteria; Pseudomonadati; Pseudomonadota; Betaproteobacteria; Burkholderiales; Burkholderiaceae
Description: partial 16S ribosomal RNA
Rfam family: Bacterial small subunit ribosomal RNA
Source: RNAcentral